RNAcentral lists this unclassified non-coding RNA (146 nucleotides) under soil metagenome. Its description in RNAcentral is "partial internal transcribed spacer 1". The record is from RNAcentral.
UAAUAAGUGUUUUAUGGCACUUUUUAAAUCCAUAUCCACCUUGUGUGCAAUGUCAGUCGAUCUUCUUUAUUGGAGAUCGACCAAACAUCAACCUUUAUUUUCUAACUCUUUGUCUGAAAAAUAUUAUGAAUAAACAAUUCAAAAUA